Corylus avellana is the source of this 109-nucleotide non-coding RNA. Lineage: Eukaryota; Viridiplantae; Streptophyta; Magnoliopsida; Fagales; Betulaceae. The record is from RefSeq and is a predicted model, not a curated record.
GUUAAUGAGAGACUGCUGAAGAUAUACAAAACUAUUCUGGGAAUACUCGGACAACCAACGUGGUCAAAUAUUGAGUGGAUAAGAAGCCUACUACGUCACAUUGAAUCCG